CUAGAUUCAAGAAUUUACUCGAAAGAGGUAUGAAACCUAAAUGAAAUCUGAUCUUGAAGGCCAUGUUAAAUGUUAUGAUUUUGUGUUAAAACAUGUAGUAUGUAGUAUAUAUUGAUGAUCUAGGUUGCAAGAUGUUAGAUCCAUAACAUAUAGAGGCUCGGAUUUGAAGUUUUUAAAAAUCUAGAAAAAAUUUAUAAUAUGUCU
RNAcentral lists this long non-coding RNA (204 nucleotides) under Panax ginseng (ginseng). Its description in RNAcentral is "long non-coding RNA (PGIN_LNC011964)". Lineage: Eukaryota; Viridiplantae; Streptophyta; Magnoliopsida; Apiales; Araliaceae. The record is from RNAcentral.